Molecule: long non-coding RNA, 474 nt
Organism: Pieris napi
Lineage: Eukaryota; Metazoa; Arthropoda; Insecta; Lepidoptera; Pieridae
Exons: 2
Source: RefSeq, a predicted model, not a curated record
CACCUCUCAUUACUCAUCAGUCGGGAUUUAGUACUCACAAAAAAUGGAGAAAAUCGUAUUCAUCACACUUCUAGCAAGCGCAUUCGCGGCCCCGGGAUACUACGUACCCCUAGCCAAGUCAACCCUAACGACCAGCAGUCAAACGGUUGACCACGGCAGUAGCCACAUACUCCACGCACCAUUGAUGGUUCCUCUUGCGAAGACAACAUCAACUCACAGCAACCAAGUUGUCGACCAUGGAAGUACAGCAAUAUACCACACCCCCGCUGUUUACCACGCUCCCGCUGUUUACCACGCUCCUGCCGUUUACCACGCACCCUUACACCAAGUGACCACAGUAGAGCACCACCCAGUCGUCUUCCCCGCCACCUCUAUCUACUCUUACAAGACUCCUGACUCUGCUAUUACUCAUCAUUCCUCGGAAGUACAUGAAACUGUGCCAUAUUAUGCUUACCAUUAAAUUUUAAAUUAUUA